UUCCUUCUUCUGUACGUGACAAAACAUAGCACAAGCAUGAAUGAAGGAACUGUUAAUUGAUGACGCAUUUUCUUUCCUCUCAUUUUCACUUUGCCAAACAAAGGAACUAGCCUUGCCCUUAAUUUGACUUCCUUUUAUCCUUUUUCCCCAUACAAAUGGGAGGGAAGAAAAUAUUUUCUAUUUUUAUUACUUUUAUUCCUAUAUUUUCUUCCUACCACUUAUUUGCUUUCACUUUCAAAACGGUGCUAAAAACCUAACAAAUUUAUGCUUUAUAUACACCAACAGCAUCAAAAUAAUUCAAAGUUUAUUAUAGCUCCAAAAUGGAGAAAAACAAACCAUUUCCUAUAG
RNAcentral lists this unclassified non-coding RNA (348 nucleotides) under Hevea brasiliensis (rubber tree). The record is from RNAcentral. Lineage: Eukaryota; Viridiplantae; Streptophyta; Magnoliopsida; Malpighiales; Euphorbiaceae.